RNAcentral lists this ribosomal RNA (497 nucleotides) under uncultured bacterium. RNAcentral describes it as "partial 16S ribosomal RNA". It matches the Rfam family "Bacterial small subunit ribosomal RNA", at positions 29 to 523 of the family's 1533-position model. The record is from RNAcentral.
UUGAACGCUGGCGGCAGGCCUGACACAUGCAAGUCGAGCGGCAGCGCGGGGCAACCUGGCGGCGAGCGGCGGACGGGUGAGUAACGCGUAGGAAUCUACCCAGUAGCGGGGGAUAGCCCGGGGAAACUCGGAUUAAUACCGCAUACGCCCUAAGGGGGAAAGCAGGGGAUCGUAAGACCUUGCACUAUUGGGAGAGCCUGCGUUGGAUUAGCUAGUUGGUAGGGUAAAGGCCUACCAAGGCGACGAUCCAUAACUGGUCUGAGAGGAUGAUCAGUCACACCGGAACUGAGACACGGUCCGGACUCCUACGGGAGGCAGCAGUGGGGAAUAUUGGACAACGGGGGCAACCCUGAUCCAGCCAUGCCGCGUGUGUGAAGAAGGCCUUCGGGUUGUAAAGCACUUUAAGUGGGGAGAAAGGUUCGGCAGCUAAUACCUGCCGGAAGUGAUGUUACCCACAGAAUAAGCACCGGCUAACUCUGUGCCAGCAGCCGCCGUAA